RNAcentral lists this long non-coding RNA (1134 nucleotides) under Phasianus colchicus (ring-necked pheasant). RNAcentral describes it as "lncRNA (ENSPCLG00000014998.1)". The record is from RNAcentral. Lineage: Eukaryota; Metazoa; Chordata; Aves; Galliformes; Phasianidae.
CACAAAAUAAUGUUUAGCUGUUACGUAUAUACACUCUUGUCUCAAGCUGUGCAGAAUUUCUGUGAAUGUUUUCAGUUGGAUAUGAAAUUAAGUACAUGAGGAAAAAUACACCGUACUGUAUAUAUUACGUGUUAUUGCCAUGUGACAGAUGGCAGCAGAAAAGCACUCUGACAAAAUGGCACCUGACAUCCAGAAAGUCUGUAUGAAGCAAAGGUGUGUCACUGAAUUCCUCUGUGUGGAGAAAAUGGCACCCACUAGGUGCUUGUUGAAUGCAACCAAUGCAAUGCUAAGUGGUGUGAUCACAGAGGGGCAGUGUGCAGUGCAUGCCAGCAGUGAUGUCAGUGACUGUGGGUAACCUGUGCUGGCACAGAUUUUGAUGAGCACAACAUGCAGUCUCAUAUUCAUUGCCAACUAUGCAAAAAGGCAUAGCUAACGGUGGUGGCUAUGUUGGAGAACGGUGCUAUGCAGCUGAGGAUUUGCCCUAUCAAACAGAGUUACUGUGCUCAUUUUACCUGUUGCAGUUUCCAUGAAAAUGAAUAGGAGGCAUUACUUUUACAGCAAAUAUAUGUGGCCCGGGACAAUUUGCCUUCACUCAGUGUGACCUAGGCAAACCAACAGGCUGGACAGUGGUGCUAUACACAAGGUCCCUCAGGUCCUGGGUGCCUUUCUCCUUCAGGGUGUUCGGUUUGCCUGGGUUACAUGCCAGGAAAAGAUUCCCUGGAGGGAGCCUCUUACUCACAGCUGAGUCAUGACUGCUGCUGCUACAUUGUGUUUUGGCUUUGGUGGAAGCAAGGUAUAUUCUGUACUCUCCAUUUUGUCUCUCCCAUAGUCCUAGUUUGUAACAUUGCUGCAAUGAGAAAGAAUGUAGCUGAGGACAGAAGGAAAGGAACUGAGCAAACUGCAGUGCAUAGUAAUGAGCGUGUGAGGAGAAGCGGGGUGCUGUGAGGGAAAGGCGAUGACAACGAUGGCGACGGCAAGCGGUCUCCAGAGCCGAGAAUCUUAAAUCAACCAGAAGAGGAGCGAGCUGGAAGAGGAUGCUGAAGCGUGCAGAUGCGGGGGGGAAGGAGAGAGGCACCCUGGGCAAAGCCCCCGUCCCGUUAUUGUUUGAGCGUUGCCCGUGCCUUGGGUGACCAG